GAUGAAGAACGCAGCGAAAUGCGAUAAGUAAUGUGAAUUGCAGAAUUCAGUGAAUCAUCGAAUCUUUGAACGCACAUUGCGCCCAUUAGUAUUCUAGUGGGCAUGCCUGUUCGAGCGUCAUUAAGUCCACUUAAGCCCUGCUUAGUGUUGGGAGACUGCUCCAGCGGUGCUACCCUGUAGCUACCCUGCAGCUCCUCAAAGACAGCGGCGGAGUUGUGGUAUCCUCUGAGCUUAGUAACUUGUUCUAGCUUUCGAGUACACCACUUCCCCUGCCGUAAAACCCUUAAUUUUAAUGGUUGACCUCGGAUCAGGUAGGAAUACCCGCUGAACUUAAGCAUAUCAAUAAGCGGAGGA
RNAcentral lists this unclassified non-coding RNA (354 nucleotides) under soil metagenome. Its description in RNAcentral is "partial contains 5.8S ribosomal RNA, internal transcribed spacer 2, and large subunit ribosomal RNA". The stretch from base 1 to 120 matches the Rfam family "5.8S ribosomal RNA", at positions 35 to 154 of the family's 154-position model. The record is from RNAcentral.